GGAGGAGGGGAAGAGCAAGGAAGAGAAGAGAACAAAGAGAGAGCAAGAGAGCAUGAGGAGGGGGCAAGCAGCCCCUUUUAUAGUCAGGCACAGCAAGCUGUUGCCAGACAGCUGUGGGGAGGAGCAUACCUGGCUAUUGCCAGGUAACUGUGGGGGUGGAGCUUAGACAGAAUACCAACAAUACCACCAAAAGCCUGUGAAUUGAGCUUCAGUUGGAACUCACUUUGAGGUCCACAGGCUGAGUUGCACUGGCCUGCACUGCUACCUGAGACCUUCCUUGAUGAUGUCCUGUUCUGUGCAAAUUCCAAGGACCCCUCCCUGUCUGUGGUCCUACUGCAGCUCAGGUCUGUUGAUGUCCAUGGCCCUUGUCACCACUGAAGUCCAUGCAGAUGUCUAUGGUUUGUGCUGCCACUGAGGGUAAUCCUGGGAGUUACUAGCUUGUCCCGGAGAUGCCCCCCAAUUCCAGUUGUCUCUGCCAGUACUCUUUCCCUCCAUCCUCACCCUACCUGAUUCCUCCUGUUUUCAUCCCUGCCCUCCUCCACGUCUGAAAUCUUCUUCCCCUUCCCAGGGAAACCCAUUCCUCAGGCCUUGAGCCCUCCUUGUUGUUAGCCCCUCUUGCUCUGUGGAUUGUAGCAUGAUUAUCCUUUCCUUUACAACUAAUAACCACUUAUAAGUGUCUACCCACCAUGUUUGUCUUUCUGGGAAUAGGUUAUUCACUUAGGAUGAUGUUUUUUCUAGUUCUAUCCAUUUACCUGUAAGUUGUGUGUGUGUGUGUGUGUGUGUGUGUGUGUGUGUAAAUAUAUAUAAAUUUUUUCUAAGACUUAGGAAUGGGGACAGGCUAAGGGUCUGAGGAGAACCACAGGAGGGAGGAAAACAAAGAAUUCCAUGUGACUUUUUGGCUUUCCUCAGGGUCUGUUGUUAUAUUUCCCUUUUCAAUUAUGAUUUUGUUAAUUUUGGAUAUUCUCUCUCCCUCUUGUGAGUUAAUUUGUAUGAGGGUCUGUCAAUCUUAUUGAUUUUCUCAAAGAACCAAUCCUCUGUUUCAUUGAUUUUUUUUUGUUUUGUUUUCUUUGUUUCUAUUUCUUUGAUUUUAGCCCCGAAUUUGACUAUUUCUUGCCAUCUACUUUCGACGUGCUUUCUUUUUGUAUUUGAGCAUUCACAUGCACUGUUAAGUUGCUAGUGGUACAAGAUCUCUCCAGUUUUUCAUUGCAAGCACUUUGUGCUAUGGACGUGCCUCUUGGAGUAAUUUUUAUUGUGUCCUAUAAAUUUGAGUGUGCUGUGUAUUCAUUUUCUUUGAAUUCUAGGUCUUUAAUUUCUCUUUAAAUUUCUGUGCUGACCCAUUUUUCAUUCAGGAGAGAGUUGCUCGGUUUCCAUGAGUUUGUAAACUCACUGCCCUUUCUGUUAUCCAGCUUCAAUCUCCGGUGUUCUGCUAGGAUACAGGGUGUUAUUUCAAUUUUCUUAUUUCUUUGAGACUUGCUUUGUGUGUUCAAGUAUGUGCUCAAUUCUGGAGAAAGUUCCAUGAGGUGUAGAGAAGAAGGAAUAUUGUUCUGUAUUUGGGUGAAAUGUUUGGUAAACCUGGGGGAUUCAGGUAAAAUGUGUUUGUGAGUAUUCGGAUCUCACACUUAGGAAUGGGACAGGCUAAAGGUCUGAGGAGUUUCAUAGGCGGGAGAAAACAAAGAGAUCUCACAGGAUCUGAUUGUUCAGGUUCUUUAUAAUGCGGGCAGAGAGUGAGGAGAGAUCACCCCAGAAUGUCUGCUAUAGGGCCUGUUGGGAUCGUGGGCUGGGAUAAAGCAAUGAUGGGGAGGGGCGUUAGGAGGGGAAGAUCUAUGGGUUCUAUUAGAGCUGGGGUGGGGGAAAGGCUGCUACGGGGGUUCUGCUGCAGAGUUCUACCUGGUUCCCUGGCAGGAAUGAUCAGUGAGUUCUUAAUCACUAAGUUCCCUUUCGUUCUCUGUAUCAUUUCAUUUUGAUUUCUUUUUCUUGAUCAUUUGGUGUGAGAGAUGUGUUCCUCGUUAGUUCCAGAGUGAAACACACAGUGUUAGUUGUACUUCUGUCUUAUACUGUAUCUUAAAUUUCCAGUUAGUUACUGUUGCCCUUGAUUUUAUAGUUUUCUUCCGUUCGUCUGUUGUCUCCCCGCCUCCCUCUGCUCUGGCCUCAGGUUUGUACCCUGCUGCUAUUAAGAGGCACUGAGGUUGUGUUUCAGGCCACCAGGGAUUGGCAGAUACAACAGGGCAAAAGGCUCCAAAUCUCCAUAACCCUUUGUUCUUCCUCAUCAGGUCCUGUGGCCAUGUCUUAGUACAAUAGUCCACCCAGGCAUUACAGAGCAUCACCUAGUCCUAGGAGUCCUCCAUUCCUAGGUAUGUUUUCAAGACAGGUUUCCCAGAAAUCACUCUGCUCCACUGUCCUUCCUCAAUGUCUCUCCCUGGCUGCUACGGUCUAGGACACACCCUUACUCUUUUUAUCAGAAUUUUCUAAGGCCUCUGAUACGGCUUGGUUUUGAUGCCCUGAUUUUCUUCCAGGUGAUCCCCUUUUCGUGUGGAAACUACUUUUUAUUUCUUCUAAACAAUGGUUAGUGAAGGAUUCCUGAAGUCUAUAGUUCUCGCUAUAAAUAAGCACGCCGUUUAGUGACGCUGUGAAUAGGUUGUGCUGAUAUUUCUUCCUUUACAGCAGUGAUGGGCAUUUGCUUGUGGAGUGAAUUUUUGCUUACGUUUCUUGUUGACUUUGAGUUUGUAAAGAGCAGAGAUUACGUCUGGCACAGAAACUUAUUCCAGAGUCAGAGCCUGUGGGAUGAACAAGGACGAUUUCGAGCUUUUCUCCUUAGUUAGCAUGUAUUUUCCCAAGUUCAACCUUUGAUGCUCUGGCCUAUAGACGUAGUUAUCAAUAAAGUAAUAAGCUAUACACUUAGCAGGAUUUUUGUUUUCUGUAGCUUGAAGCACCUGUAACCGAGAUCUUAAACGGUAUUAACAAAAUUAAACCAAGUAGUUUGGCUGUACUUUUGGGUUCCGGAGUCUAAUUGCCUAUACUGAAGAGCUGGAGUCAUAAUUUGAUGGUCUGUAGGUUUCUCAGCUGUUUCGCUCUACAAGAAAAUGCAUAAUGGGCGAUUUUGCACGUGACUGUCUAUAUUUUAUAUGCAACACAUCAGUGUUGUGUAAAUUCUCUGAGCAACUUCUAUUAUCUUUGAAACCACAGAAGCAACAAGCAGUUAUAAUUACAGUCUGACGAAGCUCUAACAUUUCAAACAUGCCUACAGUACUGGUACCACAAUGGGAACGUUCAUCUGCCUGCAGUUGCUCUGAGCCCGGUGACGUCACAAUUACACCGUUUUAACGGAAACGUCUGUCCUUAAACAGAAACAGCUUGCUUGAAAAAGCUAAGAGUUUUUAUUCUUCUGACUUCUUUGAUUCCUCACUGAGGAAAAGUGGUCGGGAUGGUAAAUAUUGCCGCAUAGCCGUGUUCCUGUUACUUCUCGGCUGGUUUCACUAUUGGAGAGUCCCAGGUAUUCGCCUUCACUCCACAUGGGGAACGAACGCGGCGUUAUUUAAAACUCCUUUUGUGCAUCUGCUCCUUGUCAACUCAUGAUCGUCUGAUCCUUGAAGAUUUGACAACCCUGUGAUUUGCUGUAAUGGAAUUACUGAGAAGUUAUCAACAGAGACGUUGCACUGGAAGCAUGCAUCCUUAGAUGUUUAGAAGGAAACGAACUUCAAAAGGGAGUGGUAGCCACAAAGAAAUACCUGAAUCAUACUCCUUGCCCUCCUUCAGUGGAGUGGCUCUGUGUCUUUAAUUUUGUUGACUGAGAGAAAGGAUGUUUAUACUGACUUCCUGUGUCCUGAGCUUGGACUCAUUUUUUUCUUUUCUUUUUUGCUAAGUUUAUAUAUCAGCACCGCGUAGGCAAUGAGCACACCUCAUGGGCUGGGUGUGUCGAUUUAAAGAACUUGCUCUGUGGGAUUCAAAGGCCUUCCUUAUCCUGGGGCUCUGUCACUGAGCAUGAAAGAAACAUUGAAUCCACUUGUGAAGUUUUCUGAGUUGCUAUUAUUUUUCUCUUUUUAGUUAUUCUGCUCUCACACAAUACAUUCCUCCUUCCACUUCUCCCAGUAGCCCCUCCCCCUCUCUCUUCCAGAUCCACUGCUCCUUUAUUUCCCUUCAGAAAAGACCAGGAAUAUCAACUGAACGAUAUGACAGGAGUCUAGCAUGGCUGUCUUCUGAGAGAUUCCACCCACCAACUGACUCAGAGGGAUGCAGACACCCACAAUGAAACAGUGGAUGGAGCUUGGGAACUCUUAUGGAAGAACUGGAGGAAGAAAUGCAGGCCUUGAAGGGGAUAGGCACUCCACAGGAAGACCAACAGUCAACUAACCUGGACCACUGGGACUUUCAGAGACUGAACCAUCAACCAAAGAACAUACACAGGCUGGACCUAGGCUUCCCUGAACAUGUGUAACAGAUAUGCAGCUUGGUCUUCAUGUGGGACCUGAACAACUGGAGCAGGGGUUAACCCAAAAGCUGCUGUCUAUAGUUGAGAUAUGUUCUAGCUGGGCUGCCUUGUCUACCCUCAGUAGGAGAUGAUAUACCAAAGGUGGAAGGAUACCAAGAGAGGACCCUGCCUGCUCAGAGGAGAAGGGGAGGGAAGGAUUGUGGGGGGUGACUGCAGGGGACAGUGAGCUGGAUGUAAAGUAAAUGAUUAAAAAGUAAAUAAAAUAAAGUAAAAUGAAAGACGAAAAGAAA
This is a non-coding RNA of Rattus norvegicus (Norway rat), 4716 nucleotides long. The record is from RefSeq and is a predicted model, not a curated record. NCBI's taxonomy places the organism in Eukaryota, Metazoa, Chordata, Mammalia, Rodentia, Muridae.